AGUCCUGUGGUGUACCACACGUUAGAUUGCAAAUCUGAAGAAGUAAACUAAAGUUUACCGGGGCUU
This is a non-coding RNA of Oncorhynchus gorbuscha (pink salmon), 66 nucleotides long. Lineage: Eukaryota; Metazoa; Chordata; Actinopteri; Salmoniformes; Salmonidae. The record is from the annotation of a RefSeq genome assembly.